GGAAAAGGGAAUUGAUCAGACGAAGGUGGAUACUUCUCGCCAAGGACUUCAUACAAGGACUUCUCAGCAGCAUGAAGAGCUAAGCAAUCCUGCAACAUAUAGGGUUUAUCCUCCGAUUCUUCUUCCAUUAAAACGUCAUUUAUGUACUUGAAGAAAGCGUGGGAGAAAUCGAAGGUUUCACUAUUGUAGGGAGAAUCACUAUUCGAGCUCGAUUCCAUAGAUGGAAUAUUGGCACUAGGAGAUUGCAGGUUGGCAGAAAUUGAUAGAGGGUUCAUGGAAGCAAGAUUGAAUUCAAACCCAUCAACAGAAUUAUGAUUUGAAGUAACUGCAAAUGAUCCGCACUCACACUCGUCUCCGUUCAUUGAAGCGGAGGAGCAAGUGGAGUACUAAUUGGAU
This 396-nucleotide unclassified non-coding RNA is filed under the name Hevea brasiliensis (rubber tree). The record is from RNAcentral. Lineage: Eukaryota; Viridiplantae; Streptophyta; Magnoliopsida; Malpighiales; Euphorbiaceae.